This 499-nucleotide ribosomal RNA is filed under the name Subestea australiae. RNAcentral describes it as "Onoba australiae partial 16S ribosomal RNA". It matches the Rfam family "Bacterial large subunit ribosomal RNA", at positions 1811 to 2608 of the family's 2925-position model. The record is from RNAcentral. Lineage: Eukaryota; Metazoa; Mollusca; Gastropoda; Littorinimorpha; Rissoidae.
AAACAUGUCUCCCCGGUAUACUUUUAUGCGGAGUCUAACCUGCCCAGUGAUUAAUUUAACGGCCGCAGUACCCUGACUGUGCAAAGGUAGCAUAAUCUCUUGCUCUAUAAUUGAGGGCUAGUAUGAAUGGUUGAACGAGAACAAGACUGUCUCCUAAAAAUUUAAUAGAAAUUAACCUACAGGUGAAGAGGCCUGUAUAAAACUAAAAGACGAGAAGACCCUAUCGAGCUUUAGUAAUAUUAAGAAUUUAGCUAUAAUAAAUACUUUAGUUGGGGCGACUAAGGAAUAAGCAAAACUUCUUUAUCUAUAAUUAUGUGAACAAAUUGAUCCAUUAAAUAUGAAAAGUGGAAAAGCUACCGUAGGGAUAACAGCGUAAUUUUCUUUAAAAGUACAUAUUGAAAAGAAAGUUUGCGACCUCGAUGUUGGACUAAAAUUUCCGAAAGAUGCAGAAGUCUUUAAAGGUUGGUCUGUUCGACCAUUAAAAUUUUACAUGAUCUGA